CGGAGGUGGCGAGCGUUGCUCGGAUUCACUGGGUGUAAAGGGCAAGUAGGCGGCCGCGUAAGUCGGGUGUGAAAGUCCACGGCUCAACCGUGGAAUUGCGCCCGAAACUGCGUGGCUAGAGGACAGCAGAGGUGAAUGGAAUUCCCGGUGUAAGGGUGAAAUCUGUAGAGAUCGGGAGGAAUUCCAGUGGCGUAGGCGAUUCACUGGGCUGUUUCUGACGCUGAGAGGCGAAAGCUAGGGGAGCAAACAGGAUUAGAUACCCUGGUAGUCCUAGCUGUAAACUAUGCACACUAGGUGUUGGCUCCCAUCUGGGGGUCAGUGCCGCAGUUAACACGUUAAGUGUGCCACCUGGGGACUACGGCCGCAAGGUUG
This 372-nucleotide ribosomal RNA is filed under the name uncultured organism. Its description in RNAcentral is "bacterial SSU rRNA". It matches the Rfam family "Bacterial small subunit ribosomal RNA", at positions 526 to 896 of the family's 1533-position model. The record is from RNAcentral.